AACGAACGCUGGCGGCAUGCCUAACACAUGCAAGUCGAACGAGACCUUCGGGUCUAGUGGCGCACGGGUGCGUAACGCGUGGGAACCUGCCCUUAGGUUCGGAAUAACUCCCCGAAAGGGGUGCUAAUACCGGAUAAUGUCUUCGGACCGAAGAUUUAUCGCCUUUGGAUGGGCCCGCGUUGGAUUAGCUAGUUGGUAGGGUAAAAGCCUACCAAGGCGACGAUCCAUAGCUGGUCUGAGAGGAUGAUCAGCCACACUGGGACUGAGACACGGCCCAGACACCUGAGGGGGGGAGGGGGGGGGAAAAUGGGAAAAGGGGCGAAAGCCUGACCAAGAAAGGCCGGGGGGGGGAUGAAGGCCUUAGGGUUGAAAAGCUCUUUUACCCGGGAUGAAAAUGAAAGGACCGGGAAAAAAAGCCCCGGCUAACCCCGG
Molecule: ribosomal RNA, 432 nt
Filed under: uncultured bacterium
Lineage: Bacteria
Description: partial 16S ribosomal RNA
Rfam family: Bacterial small subunit ribosomal RNA
Source: RNAcentral